CCUACGGGUGGCAGCAGUGGGGAAUAUUGCACAAUGGGCGAAAGCCUGACGCAGCGACGCCGCGUGAGUGAAGAAGUUUCUCGGUAUGUAAAGCUCUAUCAGCCGGGAAGAAAAUGACGGUACCUGACUAAGAAUGCCUGGCUAACUACGUGCCAGCAGCCGCGGCAAUACGGCGGGGGCCAGCGUUAUCCGGAUUUACUGGGUGUAAAGGGAGCGUAGUUGGCGCGGCAAGUCUGGAGUGAAAAGCACGGGCUUAACCCCUGAACUGCUUUGGAAACUGCCAUGCUAGAGGGCUGGAGAGGUAAGUGGAAUUCCUAGUGUAGCGGUGAAAUGCGUAGAUAUUAGGAGGAACACCAGUGGCGAAGGCGGCUUACUGGACAGUAACUGACGUUGAGGCUCGAAAGCGUGGGGAGCGAACAGGAUUAGAUACCCUGGUAGUC
This 440-nucleotide ribosomal RNA is filed under the name uncultured bacterium. RNAcentral describes it as "partial 16S ribosomal RNA". It matches the Rfam family "Bacterial small subunit ribosomal RNA", at positions 338 to 795 of the family's 1533-position model. The record is from RNAcentral.